Molecule: ribosomal RNA, 195 nt
Filed under: uncultured bacterium
Lineage: Bacteria
Description: partial 16S ribosomal RNA
Rfam family: Bacterial small subunit ribosomal RNA
Source: RNAcentral
UGCAACUCGCCUGCAUGAAGCUGGAAUUGCUAGUAAUCGCGGAUCAGCAAGCCGCGGUGAAUACGUUCCCGGGCCUUGUACACACCGCCCGUCACACCAUGAGAGUCGGGAACACCCGAAGUCCGUAGUCUAACCGCAAGGGGGGCGCGGCCGAAGGUGGGUCCGGUAAUUGGGGUGAAGUCGUAACAAGGUAUC